RNAcentral lists this ribosomal RNA (253 nucleotides) under uncultured bacterium. RNAcentral describes it as "partial 16S ribosomal RNA". It matches the Rfam family "Bacterial small subunit ribosomal RNA", at positions 524 to 776 of the family's 1533-position model. The record is from RNAcentral.
UACAGAGGGUGCGAGCGUUAAUCGGAAUUACUGGGCGUAAAGCGUGCGUAGACGGUUAUUUAAGUCGGGUGUGAAAGCCCCGGGCUCAACCUGGGAAUUGCAUUCGAGACUGAAUAGCUAGGGUACGGUAGAGGGAAGUGGAAUUUCCGGUGUAGCGGUGAAAUGCGUAGAUAUCGGAAGGAACAUCAGUGGCGAAGGCGGUUGCCUGGGGCUUUGCUGACGCUGAUGCGCGAAAGCGUGGGGAGCGAUCCGG